AUGAAAGUAGGGGGAGAGACUGCGUAUUAGCUGCGCAGCGCCGAAGGAGCAAGCAAAAUUUGUGAAUCUCUCAGGCAAAGAAGACUCUUACAGGACG
Molecule: regulatory RNA element, 97 nt
Rfam family: Glycine riboswitch aptamer
About the family: This family represents the bacterial glycine riboswitch. Glycine riboswitches usually consist of two metabolite-binding aptamers domains with similar structures in tandem.
Source: Rfam